Molecule: long non-coding RNA, 504 nt
Organism: Phyllostomus discolor (pale spear-nosed bat)
Lineage: Eukaryota; Metazoa; Chordata; Mammalia; Chiroptera; Phyllostomidae
Exons: 2
Source: RefSeq, a predicted model, not a curated record
CAGGGGAGCCCUCUGCUCUCCGCCCCAGCCUGCACCUCUGUCCUGGCCAACCACGUUCAUUGUUUCUCACCGGCGCCCAACUUCCUCGAAAUUCUGGAGACUAAUGCAACGGGAGAUGCCCUCUGGGUAUUUGGAAGAACUGUCUUCCCAGUGCAAUUGUACUCGCCCAAUCGAAUACUUACUGAUGUCUGCGAAGUGCUGGGGCACAAAACUAGAACCGACUCGGACCCUGCCUACCCUCCAGUCAUUUGGACAAAGAACCUUCGGUACAGAGCAAAUCCCAUGUCCGACGCAACUAGAAGGAAAGGCAACCUGAGGAAGCAUCAGAGUCUCCACAAAGGUGCACCAAAUGCUUUUGGUUUCCCUCUUGUAAUUUCAUUUAUUGAAAUUUACUCUAUGCGAAAUGCUGUUCUAUGAGCUUUACAAUCAGUAAUCCUCACAAUGGCCCUAUGAGAUUGGUACUGUCAUCCCAUUUUGCAGAUUUAUAUAUCCAGCAAGUAUUUA